GUAACGGCGAGUGAAGCGGCAAGAGCUCAAAUUUUAAAUCCGGCGUUUGCAACGUCCCGAGUUGUAAUUUGGAGAGGCACCUUUGGGGACACCGCCGGACCAAGUUCCUUGGAACAGGACGUCACAGAGGGUGAGAAUCCCGUUCCCGUCUGGCUGUCUGAUCCCUUGUGAAGUGCCUUCUACGAGUCGAGUUGUUUGGGAAUGCAGCUCUAAGUGGGUGGUAAAUUUCAUCUAAAGCUAAAUAUGGGCGAGAGACCGAUAGCGCACAAGUAGAGUGAUCGAAAGAUGAAAAGCACUUUGAAAAUAGAGUUAAAAAGUACGUGAAAUUGUUGAAAGGGAAGCGCUUGAGACCAGACCCAGCCCCGAACAAACAGCCUUCCCUGCUCCAGGGAGGUGCACUUGUAUCGGGGCUGGGCCAGCGUCGGUCGGGGUGGUGGGACAAAGGCGUCGGGAAUGUGGCUCCUCUCGAGGAGUGUUAUAGCCCCGCGCGCAAUGCCACCUACCUGGACCGAGGGCCGCGCCUUGGCGAGGAUGCUGGCACAAUGGUCUUCAGCGACCCGUCUUGAAACACGGACCAAGGAGUCUAACAUCCAUGCGAGUGUUUGGGCGUCAAACCCUUGCGCGGAAUGAAAGUGAAUGCAGGUGGGACAGCUCCCCUCGCGGGGGCAUUGCACCAUCGACCGAUCCUGAUGUCCUCGGAUGGAUUUGAGUAGGAGCAUGGCUGUUGGGACCCGAAAGAUGGUGAACUAUGCCUGAAUAGGGUGAAGCCAGAGGAAACUCUGGUGGAGGCUCGCAGCGGUUCUGACGUGCAAAUCGAUCGUCAAAUUUGGG
This 831-nucleotide ribosomal RNA is filed under the name Balsamia vulgaris. RNAcentral describes it as "eukaryotic LSU rRNA". It matches the Rfam family "Eukaryotic large subunit ribosomal RNA", at positions 83 to 915 of the family's 3401-position model. The record is from RNAcentral. Lineage: Eukaryota; Fungi; Ascomycota; Pezizomycetes; Pezizales; Helvellaceae.